Small nuclear RNA from Artibeus jamaicensis (Jamaican fruit-eating bat), 104 nucleotides. The record is from RefSeq and is a predicted model, not a curated record. Lineage: Eukaryota; Metazoa; Chordata; Mammalia; Chiroptera; Phyllostomidae.
AUGCUUGCUUCGGCAGCACAUACACUAAAAUUGGAAUGAUACAGAGAUUAGCAUGGCUCCUGAGCAAGGAUGAGAUGCAAAUUCAUGAAGUGUUCCAUAUUUUC